UUCACAUAACACUUUACAUAUUAUACUUCAGUUUCUUCUUUAUUUUACAGUCGAGAAAAUCAAUGAAACUCUCCACCAUCUCCAUCACUGCCACCACCAUUUUCAUCUUCAUCUCCGUCACCAUCAACACCAACAAUAGAAUCGUCUCUGUCGCCAUCAUCACCAUAUCAGUGAGUUAUCACACAUUUACUCUUUAAUUUCAUAUAUAAAAAAUAUCUCUCCUAUUUCUCUACGGAAAUCACCACCAGCACCACCAUAUCCUCCGCCAACUGAUUCCGAUUUAAUUGAAAAUUAUUAUCAGAAACAAAUGGUUCAUAAUCAGAAACACCUUCUUCUUCUUGUAAAGAUUAAUUUCAAAAUCAAAUUCAAAAAGAUUGAGAUCUGAUUUUAGGUCUUAAGUUCUGAUUUUUCCGCAUCGAUUUGGAAGAGGCAAUGGAUAUCGUCAUCAAUUUAUUGUAUCUGAAGAUACAAUCAUCCAAAAUGAUUAAAAAUUGGUUAUUUUCUUUCUCUUGUUUUGAAGUUUCUGUUGGUGUUGGUGGUAUUGUAACUGGUGGUGAUGUAGAUAGAGAAAGGUUAGACGACGGAAUUGAUGGAGAUUGUUCUGGUUGGAAUGGUGAAAUUUCGCGAUUGAGAUAAUGGUGGUUAAGAUUGUUUAUUGUGUUGGUGGUUGAAGAUGGUGGUGGUGGUGAUAUCUACCGUAUGGGAAAAGAAAAGAGUAUACAAAUGAUGGUGGUAUAACUUAUUGCCAAGGUAUGGUUUCCAUCCUGAAAUUGUUUAAUGUCAGUUAAAUUAAUUUUAAUUGAACAGUGGUUGAAUUGAAUAAUGGAAAUUAGGCUUGGAUUUUAAUUGAAAUUGGAAGAAGGGGUAUGGAGUGGAUUUGCUAUUAGACUUGGAUUUGUUAGCCUCUGUCAAGAUGCAUAGUUGAAAAUGUAUUUACAACAAGGUAAAAGUUUGAACUGGGAGUGGAUAGUUGGAUUUGUUAUUAUUCGUUAGGUGUUGUGGCGAUUUUCGAUAGACCUUUAAAUGAAUAUUUGGAAUGGGGGUGAAUAGUUGUAGGAGAGAACAAGGUCAAAGAGAGCUAAUACAAGAGAACAAUGAUUAGGUGUUGUAGUGGGUAUGUGGUGUUGCAGUUGAACUGAAGUUUGUUGGUCUUGUGGCUAGAAAUUGGGAGUAAAAGGCAUUGGUGGGAAACAAGAUGCAGCUGUAUUGUUACAACAAGAAGUACUGGUGGUGAUAUUUCCGGAUUACUGAAAUGAGUGUUGCAGGCGGUGCUGAUGGAUGAGUUAUUUUUGGCUGAGUUGAUAUGAUGAAUGCUUGCACAUCUUGUUUUGAGCAGCUGUCGGUCUUCACACAGCAGGAGAUAUUGGUUUUCAUCUGCACAAGGUACAAUUUUAUAGAUUUCGUUAUUGCUGGAUUCGUUCGCCUUGUGUAUCCAUUUUGUAGCCUAUAUGGAACAACUUUUAUAGCUUGAACAUAUUAUUUAUACUAUGUUUAACAUUUUGUGACGGAGGAGGUGGUGAAGGUUAUGAGUGUGUGUAGGCAAUGGUGAUGGAGCCAGUGGGUGGAAAUACAGGUUUAAAGACCAUUCAACAAAGUCGUCGGCAUAAGGUUGAAAAGCACGUCCUCCUUGUAUGUAUGGUAAGGUCAAUUUCCUCAUAUUUCUUCGGUUACAGUUUAUUGGUUUAUAAUUGUUCGAUAAAAUAUUUUUGAUGAUAAGGCUCUUAUGUUUAUUCUUUUUUGAAUAAUAAACGUAUACAAAAUUGAAGUAAAUGGAUUGUUAAUAGAUACGUGCAUGAUACUAAAAAUGAUAUAAAAGAAAUUAUCCAAAGAUUCCAGAAUCAACUUCCUAUAGUAAAUGGUGGUGGUAGUGUAUGUUGCAGUGGAGGUGGUUUGUUUUGUUAGAAUUAGUGGUGAUAUGUUGCAGUGGACUUGUGUUGGAUGUACUCAAACUAUUGGAGACAACUUGAGCUAGUUGCUUCCACUAUUGGAGACAACUUGAGCUAGUUGCUUCCUUUUUUGGAGACAACUUGAGAAAGUUGCUUUCACUUUUGGAGGCAACUUGAGCUGGUUGAUUCCAGAUUGGAGGCAACUUGAGAUAGUUGAUUCUAUUUAGGAGGCAACUUGGUUAUGUUUUUGGGUCCAUUCAUUCAUAUGAAAUUAUCUGAUAUUAUCUUAUAAACGAAUCUGUGGUCCAUUCAUUCAGAAAAUGUGUGUUCGACUCACACUAGGUUCAUUCAUUUGUGUGUAUGUUUUAAUUUUUGGAGACAACUUGUGAUAGUUGCCUCCAUAUUUGGAGACAACUUGGGCUAGUUGCCUUCAUUUUUGAAGACAACUGGAGCUAGUUUCCUCAAAUUCGGAGACAACUUGAGUUAGUUGGUUCCAUUUUUUUUGCAACUUGUUUCUGUACACUAUUUGUUGGAGACAACUUGAGUUAGUUUCCUCCACUUUUGGAGAAGACUUGAGCUAGUUGCCUCUGAUAUGGACACAACUUCAGCAAGUUGACUCCACCUGACGGUGGUAGUUGGCGGCAGUGAUGGUGGUUGACGGCGGCGGUGGGUGGUGAAUACGAGGAAAGUGGUGGUGGUGGCUGAUGGUCAUCGGUGGCGGAAAGUGAUGGUUGGUCGUGGCGAUUGGCGGUGGCGGAAAAUGGCGGUGGUCGGCGGUGGAGGUGGUGG
This is a long non-coding RNA of Papaver somniferum (opium poppy), 2675 nucleotides long. RefSeq lists it as uncharacterized. Lineage: Eukaryota; Viridiplantae; Streptophyta; Magnoliopsida; Ranunculales; Papaveraceae. The transcript has 3 exons. The record is from RefSeq and is a predicted model, not a curated record.